This 667-nucleotide long non-coding RNA is filed under the name Rattus norvegicus (Norway rat). RNAcentral describes it as "long non-coding RNA NONRATT025447". The record is from RNAcentral. Lineage: Eukaryota; Metazoa; Chordata; Mammalia; Rodentia; Muridae.
CCUCAAGGUCCGUGGUUUAACUUCUCAGCCCAGAUACCCUGUGAUGCUGCUCCUACACCACCUCCUGCAGUGUCUGAGGACCAACCUACUCCCUCCCUCCAGCUGCCUGCCUCCUCUAAACCAAUGAAUACACCAGGUGCUGCCAAUCCUUGUUCUCCAGUGCAGCUUUCUUUCACCCACUUACCUGGAGGGGGCCCUAAGAGGCUAUCUGGGGACUCUGAAGAAAUACCACAGAGUCCCACAGGGCUGGGACAACCAAAACGGAGAGGGAGACCUCCUAGCAAGUUCUUCAAGCAGGUGGAGCAACAUUACUUAACCCAGCUGACAGCCCAGCCUAUCCCCCCUGGUGAGCAAGCUUGGCUAGGACGGGAUAUGUGCUCAGGCUGGUGGUGGAUCCGAGAUCCUGAGACACUGGAUGUCCUGCUCAAGGCGCUGCAUCCCCGAGGCAUCCGGGAGAAGGCGCUUCACAAACAUCUUAGUAAGCACAAGGACUUUUUGCAGGAGGUUUGUUUGCAGCCCUUAACUGGUAAGUAAGACCUCGACCCCAACCUGGUCUAGAGGAGCUGCUGUGCACAGGCCUUUAUGGACUACUCUCUUCCUAGACCCCAUCUUUGAGCCCAGUCAGCUGCCUGCCUUGGAAGAAGGAAUUAUGAGUUGGUCCCCCAAA